GACGAACGCUGGCGGCGUGCUUAACACAUGCAAGUCGAACGGAAAGGCCCUGCUUUUGUGGGGUGCUCGAGUGGCGAACGGGUGAGUAACACGUGAGUAACCUGCCCUUGACUUUGGGAUAACUUCAGGAAACUGGGGCUCAUACCGGAUAGGAGCUCCUGCUGCAUGGUGGGGGUUGGAAAGUUUCGGCGGUUGGGGAUGGACUCGCGGCUUAUCAGCUUGUUGGUGGGGUAGUGGCUUACCAAGGCUUUGACGGGUAGCCGGCCUGAGAGGGUGACCGGCCACAUGGGGACUGAGAGACGGCCCAGACUCCUACGUGAGGCAGCAGUGGAGGAUAUUGCACAAUGGGCGGAAGCCUGAGGCAACAACGCCGCGUGCGGGAUGACGGCCUUCGGGUUGUAAACCGCCUUCGCCUGUGACGAGGCGUGAGUGACGGUAAUGGGUAAAGAAGCACCGGCUAACUACGUG
This 468-nucleotide ribosomal RNA is filed under the name uncultured bacterium. RNAcentral describes it as "partial 16S ribosomal RNA". It matches the Rfam family "Bacterial small subunit ribosomal RNA", at positions 28 to 507 of the family's 1533-position model. The record is from RNAcentral.